GGCCAGACUCCUACGGGAGGCAGCAGUGGGGAAUAUUGCACAAUGGGGGAAACCCUGAUGCAGCGACGCCGCGUGAGCGAUGAAGUAUUUCGGUAUGCAAGGCUCUAUCAGCAGGGAAGAAAAUGACGGUACCUGACUAAGAAGCCCCGGCUAACUACGUGCCAGCAGCCGCGGUAAUACGUAGGGGGCAAGCGUUAUCCGGAUUUACUGGGUGUAAAGGGGGCGCAGACGGCAGCGCAAGCCAGGAGUGAAAGCCCGGGGCCCAACCCCGGGACUGCUCUUGGAACUGCGCGGCUGGAGUGCAGGAGGGGCAGGCGGAAUUCCUGGUGUAGCGGUGAAAUGCGUAGAUAUCAGGAGGAACACCGGUGGCGAAGGCGGCCUGCUGGACUGCGACUGACGUUGAGGCCCGAAAGCGUGGGGAGCAAACAGGAUUAGAUACCCGGGUA
Molecule: ribosomal RNA, 446 nt
Filed under: uncultured bacterium
Lineage: Bacteria
Description: partial 16S ribosomal RNA
Rfam family: Bacterial small subunit ribosomal RNA
Source: RNAcentral